AGUGAACGCUGGCGGUAGGCCUAACACAUGCAAGUCGAACGGCAGCACAGAGGAGCUUGCUCCUUGGGUGGCGAGUGGCGGACGGGUGAGGAAUACAUCGGAAUCUACUAUGUCGUGGGGGAUAACGUCGGGAAAGUUACGCUAAUACCGCAUACGACUUACGGGUGAAAGAAGGGGAUCUUCGGACCUUGCGCGAUUGAAUGAGCCGAGGUCGGAGUAGCUAGUUGGCGGGGUAAAGGCCCACCAAGGCGACGAUCCGUAGCUGGUCUGAGAGGAUGAUCAGCCACACUGGAACUGAGACACGGUCCAGACUCCUACGGGAGGCAGCAGUGGGGAAUAUUGGACAAUGGGCGCAAGCCUGAUCCAGCCAUACCGCGUGGGUGAAGAAGGCCUUCGGGUUGUAAAGCCCUUUUGUUGGGAAAGAAAUCCAUCUGGUUAAUACCCGGGUGGGAUGACGGUACCCAAAGAAUAAGCACCGGCUAACUUCGUGCCAGCCGCCGCGGUAA
This 506-nucleotide ribosomal RNA is filed under the name uncultured bacterium. RNAcentral's name for it is "partial 16S ribosomal RNA". It matches the Rfam family "Bacterial small subunit ribosomal RNA", at positions 29 to 523 of the family's 1533-position model. The record is from RNAcentral.